GAUGAACGCUAGCGGGAGGCCUAACACAUGCAAGCCGAGCGGUAUUGUUUCUUCGGAAAUGAGAGAGCGGCGUACGGGUGCGUAACACGUGUGCAACCUGCCUUUAUCUGGGGGAUAGCCUUUCGAAAGGAAGAUUAAUACUCCAUAAUAUAUUGAACGGCAUCGUUUAAUAUUGAAAGCUCCGGCGGAUAGAGAUGGGCACGCGCAAGUUUAGCUAGUUGGUGAGGUAACGGCUCACCAAGGCGAUGAUCUUUAGGGGGCCUGAGAGGGUGAUCCCCCACACUGGUACUGAGACACGGACCAGACUCCUACGGGAGGCAGCAGUGAGGAAUAUUGGUCAAUGGGUGCAAGCCUGAACCGGCCAUCCCGCGUGAAGGACGACUGCCCUAUGGGUUGUAAACUUCUUUUGUAUAGGGAUAAACCUACCCUCGUGAGGGUAGCUGAAGGUACUAUACGAAUAAGCACCGGCUAACUCCGUG
This 479-nucleotide ribosomal RNA is filed under the name uncultured bacterium. RNAcentral's name for it is "partial 16S ribosomal RNA". It matches the Rfam family "Bacterial small subunit ribosomal RNA", at positions 28 to 507 of the family's 1533-position model. The record is from RNAcentral.